GUAAUUGUGGCUGAGUGGUUAAGGUGAUGGGCUAGAAAUCCAUUGGGGUUUCUAUGCACAGGUUCAAAUCCUGUCAAUUACG
This is a non-coding RNA of Protopterus annectens (West African lungfish), 82 nucleotides long. The record is from the annotation of a RefSeq genome assembly. Lineage: Eukaryota; Metazoa; Chordata; Ceratodontiformes; Protopteridae.